RNAcentral lists this long non-coding RNA (369 nucleotides) under Struthio camelus australis. RNAcentral describes it as "lncRNA (ENSSCUG00000014013.1)". The record is from RNAcentral. Lineage: Eukaryota; Metazoa; Chordata; Aves; Struthioniformes; Struthionidae.
AUGGAGAGAGUGAGGAUUGAAGGCUCUCGAGGACUGCCAACAUUGCUAUGGAAACCCCCCAAAAAUAAAGACUUUCCCAGCCUUGUGAGAGCACACCUGCAAGAACAAGAAUUGCAGUUAGCCUUUUGCCUGUCAAAAACUACUCUCCUUCAAUAUCAGUGUCGCUUAAGGACAUCUUUUAUGUUUGGGCUGGAGCUUCCUGGUGUUCGUAUGAAAAAUCUUCACAGAAGAGGAGUAUGGUGUUUCUGAGAGGAAACCUUCACAGCACUGCACAGACAAGCCCCCGCCUUUACAUAUGAAAAGGUGAAGAUAUAUAACAGCCUUGGGGUAAAUAAUAAAGCUUCCUUUCUGCUAAAGAAGAAAGGUUCG